RNAcentral lists this ribosomal RNA (456 nucleotides) under uncultured bacterium. Its description in RNAcentral is "bacterial SSU rRNA". It matches the Rfam family "Bacterial small subunit ribosomal RNA", at positions 340 to 786 of the family's 1533-position model. The record is from RNAcentral.
UACGGAAGGCAGCAGUGGGGAAUAUUGCACAAUGGGCGAAAGCCUGAUGCAGCUAUGCCGCGUGUAUGAAGAAGGCCUUAGGGUUGUAAAGUACUUUCAUCGGGGAGGAAAAACAAAACUAAUAAUUUUAUUUCUUGACGUUACCCGAAAAAGAAGCACCGGCUAACUCCGUGCCAGCAGCCGCGGUAAUACGGAGGGUGCUAGCGUUAAUCAGAAUUACUGGGCGUAAAGAGCACGUAGGUGGUUUUUUUAAAGUCAGAUGUGAAAUCCCUGGGCUUAACCUGGAACUGCAUUUUGAAACUGAAAUACUAGAGUAUCGUAGAGGGAGGUAGAAUUCUAGGUGUAGCGGUGAAAUGCGUAGAUAUCUGGAGGAAUACCUGUGGCGAAAGCGGCCUCCUAAACGAAUACUGACACUGAGGGUGCGAAAGCGUGGGGAGCAAACAGGGAUUAGAUACC